GUGCUUGAUUUGGCAGCAAAUAUAUUAAAACUGGAAUGAUACAGAGAAGAUUAGCAUGGCUCUUGUGCAAGGAUAACACACAAAUUCAUGAAGCAUUCUGUAUUUAA
Small nuclear RNA from Aotus nancymaae (Ma's night monkey), 107 nucleotides. The record is from Ensembl. NCBI's taxonomy places the organism in Eukaryota, Metazoa, Chordata, Mammalia, Primates, Aotidae.